Molecule: ribosomal RNA, 148 nt
Filed under: Triticum aestivum (bread wheat)
Lineage: Eukaryota; Viridiplantae; Streptophyta; Magnoliopsida; Poales; Poaceae
Description: partial 18S rRNA
Rfam family: 5.8S ribosomal RNA
About the family: 5.8S ribosomal RNA (5.8S rRNA) is a component of the large subunit of the eukaryotic ribosome. It is transcribed by RNA polymerase I as part of the 45S precursor that also contains 18S and 28S rRNA. Functionally, it is thought that 5.8S rRNA may be involved in ribosome translocation.
Source: RNAcentral
GGCAACGGAUAUCUCGGCUCUCGCAUCGAUGAAGAACGUAGCGAAAUGCGAUACCUGGUGUGAAUUGCAGAAUCCCGCGAACCAUCGAGUCUUUGAACGCAAGUUGCGCCCGAUGCCACUCGACCGAGGGCACGUCUGCCUGGGCGUC